AUGCUGAGUGUGCUGGCUCUUUUCUCUCAUUUAUCCCAGGGAAGCUUGUUUAAAUGUCCCUUGCAUACUGUAAUUGAAUCCGCUGUGGGAACUCAAGCUUGUACCAUCUUUCUCUGGGCCUCUGGAACUUCCUGGGGGUGAAAAAUCUUCAUUUAAUGAUGAAUUCUGCAGCCUGAAGCCUCGUGUGAGAGACUACCCAAGGAGUAAGACAGGAAAUGUGCCACUAUGUUCCGUUUUAAUUCAAGAGAUUCCCCCCUUCUGUGCAGAGAGGCAUCAAGCUCUUCUGUGGGUUGGCAUUGUUGUUCUUUCUUUUUUUGAUUUCCUUCAUGGAACAGAAAGAGAUUACACCAGGGGAGCUAACUGUGCACUUGGCUCUCCAGGGAAUUCAAUACAUGCCUGCAAUUAACCUGCAUUGAACUGGCCAUUGGAUGUUGCUAUUCCUCCACAAUAAACACAGAUGGGAGGCAGUUUUGACUGAGUAUUUGUAUACUGCAGGUUGGCACAGC
This 506-nucleotide long non-coding RNA is filed under the name Corvus moneduloides (New Caledonian crow). Its description in RNAcentral is "lncRNA (ENSCMUG00000011897.2)". The record is from RNAcentral. Lineage: Eukaryota; Metazoa; Chordata; Aves; Passeriformes; Corvidae.